UACGGGGGGGGCAAGCGUUGUUCGGAAUUACUGGGCGUAAAGGGCUCGUAGGCGGCCAACUAAGUCGGACGUGAAAUCCCUCGGCUCAACCGGGGAACUGCGUCCGAUACUGGAUGGCUUGAGUUCGGGAGAGGGAUGCGGAAUUCCAGGUGUAGCGGUGAAAUGCGUAGAUAUCUGGAGGAACACCGGUGGCGAAGGCGGCAUCCUGGACCGGCACUGACGCUGAGGAGCGAAAGCCAGGGGAGCAAACGGG
Molecule: unclassified non-coding RNA, 253 nt
Filed under: uncultured Acidobacteriota bacterium
Lineage: Bacteria; Pseudomonadati; Acidobacteriota
Description: uncultured Acidobacteria bacterium contains 16S-23S intergenic spacer region
Rfam family: Bacterial small subunit ribosomal RNA
Source: RNAcentral